AAAUAUAAAAAAAAAAAAGGAAAUUUCAUUUGAGCCACCAAAACUCCGACCCUUGGAGUUCUUUGGCCUCUGACGCGCCGUUCAUGCACCCGCCGUACCGCCACCGUCUCCGACGGCCGACGAAGCGCUUGAGAGGCGUUCGAAGCCCUCUCUUCAGUGCAAGUGGCGAUGGGACGUGCGGCGGCAGAAGCGGCGGUGGCAGGGCAAGUGGGCGACGUGACCGUGACGGUGGCGGCUGGUCAGCAGAUGCGGCGCUAGGGUUUCUUUUCUGAAACCCUAGUUUGACUUUGGGGGGAUUGGGCCAGUUGGGUAGUUGGGCUAGGUUUGGGUUUCAGGUUAGGCUAGUUGGGUAUUGGGUUGCUGAUUUGGGCUUUGGUUUGUAAUUGGGUAGUUGGGGGUUUAAUUGUUUUUGUUUAGUUUAAGGUUAAUUGGGUUUUGGGCUAAAAAUUGGGCUUGUACAGAUCCUAUUUUAGGAAAAUAGUACAAAAGUUUUACUUGAAUAAUGAGUAAUUAAAUAGUAUUGUUUUAAUAUGAUA
Long non-coding RNA from Gossypium raimondii (Peruvian cotton), 536 nucleotides. RefSeq lists it as uncharacterized. The transcript is spliced from 2 exons. NCBI's taxonomy places the organism in Eukaryota, Viridiplantae, Streptophyta, Magnoliopsida, Malvales, Malvaceae. The record is from RefSeq and is a predicted model, not a curated record.